AGCAGCCGCCGCGGUAAUACGGAGGGUGCAAGCGUUAAUCGGAAUUACUGGGCGUAAAGCGCACGCAGGCGGUCUGUCAAGUCGGAUGUGAAAUCCCCGGGCUCAACCUGGGAACUGCAUUCGAAACUGGCAGGCUAGAGUCUUGUAGAGGGGGGUAGAAUUCCAGGUGUAGCGGUGAAAUGCGUAGAGAUCUGGAGGAAUACCGGUGGCGAAGGCGGCCCCCUGGACAAAGACUGACGCUCAGGUGCGAAAGCGUGGGGAGCAAACAGGAUUAGAUACCCCAGUAGUCCCUGUCUCUUAUAC
RNAcentral lists this ribosomal RNA (303 nucleotides) under uncultured bacterium. RNAcentral describes it as "partial 16S ribosomal RNA". It matches the Rfam family "Bacterial small subunit ribosomal RNA", at positions 507 to 807 of the family's 1533-position model. The record is from RNAcentral.